AGGAAUCUGCCUGGUAGUGGGGGACAACGUUUCGAAAGGAACGCUAAUACCGCAUACGUCCUACGGGAGAAAGCAGGGGACCUUCGGGCCUUGCGCUAUCAGAUGAGCCUAGGUCGGAUUAGCUAGUUGGUGAGGUAAUGGCUCACCAAGGCGACGAUCCGUAACUGGUCUGAGAGGAUGAUCAGUCACACUGGAACUGAGACACGGUCCAGACUCCUACGGGAGGCAGCAGUGGGGAAUAUUGGACAAUGGGCGAAAGCCUGAUCCAGCCAUGCCGCGUGUGUGAAGAAGGUCUUCGGAUUGUAAAGCACUUUAAGUUGGGAGGAAGGGCAUUAACCUAAUACGUUAGUGUUUUGACUUUUAUCGUUUGAAUAAGCACCGGCUAACUCUGUGCCAGCAGCCGCGGUAAUACAGAGGGUGCAAGCGUUAAUCGGAAUUACUGGGCGUAAAGCGCGCGUAGGUGGUUUGUUAAGUUGGAUGUGAAAGCCCCGGGCUCAACCUGGGAACUGCAUCCAAAACUGGCAAGCUAGAGUACGGUAGAGGGUGGUGGAAUUUCCUGUGUAGCGGUGAAAUGCGUA
Molecule: ribosomal RNA, 578 nt
Filed under: Pseudomonas sp.
Lineage: Bacteria; Pseudomonadati; Pseudomonadota; Gammaproteobacteria; Pseudomonadales; Pseudomonadaceae
Description: bacterial SSU rRNA
Rfam family: Bacterial small subunit ribosomal RNA
Source: RNAcentral